Molecule: ribosomal RNA, 460 nt
Filed under: uncultured bacterium
Lineage: Bacteria
Description: bacterial SSU rRNA
Rfam family: Bacterial small subunit ribosomal RNA
Source: RNAcentral
ACAAACGCUGGCGGCGUGCCUAACACAUGCAAGUCGAACGAGAAAGGGACCUUCGGGUACUGAGUAAAGUGGCGCACGGGUGAGUAAACUAUAGUUAAUGUGCCUCGAAGACUGGGAUAGCCACUGGAAACGGUGAUUAAUACUAGAUACACCUCUUUAGCUCAAGCUGGGGAGGGAAACGUUUUUUCGCUUCGAGAUCAGACUAUAUCCUAUCAGUUAGUUGGUGAGGUAAUGGCUCACCAAGGCAAUGACGGGUAGCGGUUCUGAGAGGAUGAUCCGCCACACUGGUACUGAGACACGGACCAGACUCCUACGGGAGGCAGCAGUGAGGAAUAUUGCACAAUGGGGGGAACCCUGAUGCAGCAACGCCGCGUGGAGGAUGACGCAUUUCGGUGUGUAAACUCCUUUUAUAUGUCAAGAAAAUGACGGUAGCAUAUGAAUAAGCACCGGCUAACUCCGU